UGGGGAAUAUUGCACAAUGGGCGCAAGCCUGAUGCAGCCAUGCCGCGUGUGUGAAGAAGGCCUUCGGGUUGUAAAGCACUUUCAGCGAGGAGGAAGGUGGUGAACUUAAUACGUUCAUCAAUUGACGUUACUCGCAGAAGAAGCACCGGCUAACUCCGUGCCAGCAGCCGCGGUAAUACGGAGGGUGCAAGCGUUAAUCGGAAUUACUGGGCGUAAAGCGCACGCAGGCGGUUUGUUAAGUCAGAUGUGAAAUCCCCGGGCUCAACCUGGGAACUGCAUUUGAAACUGGCAAGCUAGAGUCUCGUAGAGGGGGGUAGAAUUCCAGGUGUAGCGGUGAAAUGCGUAGAGAUCUGGAGGAAUACCGGUGGCGAAGGCGGCCCCCUGGACGAAGACUGACGCUCAGGUGCGAAAAGCGUGGGGCAGCAAACAGGAUUAGAUACCCUGGUAGUCCACGCUGUAAAACGAUGUCGAUUUUGGAGGUUGUGCCCCUUGAGGCGUGGNUUCCGGAGCUAACGCGUUAAA
This 522-nucleotide ribosomal RNA is filed under the name uncultured bacterium. RNAcentral describes it as "partial 16S ribosomal RNA". It matches the Rfam family "Bacterial small subunit ribosomal RNA", at positions 355 to 864 of the family's 1533-position model. The record is from RNAcentral.